RNAcentral lists this long non-coding RNA (275 nucleotides) under Medicago truncatula (barrel medic). RNAcentral's name for it is "long non-coding RNA (MTRU_LNC005426)". Lineage: Eukaryota; Viridiplantae; Streptophyta; Magnoliopsida; Fabales; Fabaceae. The record is from RNAcentral.
UGGUUCUAGCAUUUGAUUUGAUAUUGAUGUUAUUCUUGCACUUUAAUGCUUAUGUUUGAUUUAAUUGUGAUUGAGAAAUACUUUUGAAUCUAGGUUUAUAAUAAUCAUCUAUCAAAACAUAAGUUCUAGACAUGGAAUUGAUGUUUUGAUAAUCACCUUUUGUAUCCAAACUUAAAGCUUUCUUAUCAUUCAAUAGAUUGAGAAAUCAUCGAUUGAACGAUAAGACCGACUCUUGAAUCAUUCAAUAGUUUGAGACAUCGACGAUUGAAUGAUAC